This 460-nucleotide long non-coding RNA is filed under the name Dasypus novemcinctus (nine-banded armadillo). RNAcentral's name for it is "lncRNA (ENSDNOG00000050810.1)". Lineage: Eukaryota; Metazoa; Chordata; Mammalia; Cingulata; Dasypodidae. The record is from RNAcentral.
UUCUCACAGGCUGUCUCCGUGGUUUUUACCGCGCGUCCCCCACGCCUGGAGAACCUAGGCCUACGUGUUGGCCUAGGGGCUCACCGCCGAGCCGUGGAAGCCCGCCCGGUCCUCGUGGGUUGCUAACUUAGAAUAGCAGCCCACAGCAGGGGUUGCUAACUUGGAAUAGCAGCUCACAGCUGGGGGCCCGCCCGGGAUCCUUUCCUUCCACCGCCCUCCGGCCCCUCUCUGCUGCUGCUGCUGCUGUCUACUGGCGACCAUUUCAGCUCUCCAGAUCUCUCAAAGGACCCAACUCUGCAUACUCCACAAGAAAAGCCUUUGCUACCUCCGCAACCCGCCGUUGAAAAGUGCCUGACCUUCACCAAAACGUGCUUUAUAGUUCAUCAGAAAAGAACUCUCAGUGCAGAUGCUCCUCAAGCUCCCCUCGCACCCACUCUUACUCUGCUUCUUUCUUGUAAUU